Etheostoma spectabile (orangethroat darter) is the source of this 252-nucleotide long non-coding RNA. RefSeq lists it as uncharacterized. The transcript has 4 exons. The record is from RefSeq and is a predicted model, not a curated record. NCBI's taxonomy places the organism in Eukaryota, Metazoa, Chordata, Actinopteri, Perciformes, Percidae.
AUAUUUGAGUCAAUUGAUUUCACCUACCAAUCAUAUGAGAGGAACGCAACUCUAACGCAGAGCUUAAAACACUCUGGCCUGGUGCCGGAUUUCUGGGCUAUGAUUAUUUUAGAAAAAUACAUGAAGUCCACAUGGGUUUGUUUUUGAUGCGCUAGGUUUAACCAAUCAUUGAACUUCCACUUACCAAUGAAACAAGUUCUAGCCAAUCAGAUGCAAAGUAGGGCGGGUCUUUGCCGAAAUGUGAGAGUGGGG